GUUCCAAGCUGGUAAGCUUUCUUUCUGUAAUUUUAUUUCUCUCAAUUAUAAUAGUAAUGUAGCUGUUCAAUAUUGUGAAACCCGUUGCCUGUUGAAAUCUUUUUGUGUCUUAGAAUUAUCAAGUACUUAUGCGUGUUGAAAGUUUUGAGGACUUAUCUUUGACAUUUCUAAGAUGAUAGUUUGGCCAAAAAUAAGAGAAAGAUGCAAGAAGAUUAUAGUCAGCAGUACUCAAAUCUUCCUAGGUUGCCCAAUGUCUGUGUUGGGUAGUCUGAAGCCAGAAAAUUUAGUUUUAGAUUUUGGGUGUUUCUAUGUAAUUUAUUCACUUGAUUCAUCUUGGAAUAUUCAAUUAUUAAAGUUUAAAGAAGAGGCUUUUUGUUAAGUAACUUGCGUGUUUGCAUUAAAUUAUUGAAUCUUGAGUGAGUGAUCUGGGAAGAUACGAGGGCAUGUUUUACUUAUACUUCAUACUUGGUUGAAUCAUCAUUGUAACCUUUAUGAUUAUUUAAUGAAUGCACGCAUGUCAUUUAAAUAAAGAAAAGGAAAUCUGACUACCUUUGUCCUGAAGUGCAUGAGCAGGUUUUGAAACAUCAAUGCUAAGAGAAAACCAAUAUUUGAAAG
This 615-nucleotide unclassified non-coding RNA is filed under the name Hevea brasiliensis (rubber tree). Lineage: Eukaryota; Viridiplantae; Streptophyta; Magnoliopsida; Malpighiales; Euphorbiaceae. The record is from RNAcentral.